CGCGUUUCACAUUUGAACUCACACCGAGUUCGAUCCUUGGCUGCAGCGAAUUUCAAAUGCUUUCAUCUUUUUUUCAUUUUCCCUCCAUAUAUCAUAUACCAUGCUUCACAUGCUUUUUUUUAAUUUUUUCUCAUCUUUUAAAAAUCAUAACAAUUUGAAAACUCAUCCAAAAAUUACCAGGUUUUUUGCAUUGUGAUCCUUAUUCUUUCUAGUUUUAUAUCAUCAUGAUUUUACAAGUUGUGCUUGGCUGGAUUUUUUUUGUGCUAGAAUGUUU
RNAcentral lists this long non-coding RNA (274 nucleotides) under Lathyrus oleraceus (garden pea). RNAcentral describes it as "Pisum sativum (pea) long non-coding RNA (PSAT_LNC035927)". The record is from RNAcentral. Lineage: Eukaryota; Viridiplantae; Streptophyta; Magnoliopsida; Fabales; Fabaceae.